Gadus chalcogrammus (walleye pollock) is the source of this 2370-nucleotide long non-coding RNA. RefSeq lists it as uncharacterized. NCBI's taxonomy places the organism in Eukaryota, Metazoa, Chordata, Actinopteri, Gadiformes, Gadidae. The transcript has 3 exons. The record is from RefSeq and is a predicted model, not a curated record.
AGAUGCACAGUGGGCAGGCACACACUAAAAUGAGAUGUAACCCCCGAUUAACAGAUGUAGCGCCGAUAAAUGUUUUAUCAGUAAUUGGUCUGGACCUCAUAGCUGCAUAGCAGAGACUACCUUGAUCGAAACCAGAUAGUUAGUUAGUUUUAUUUUGGAAACGCGACAGACAUUAAUCAGCGUCGUCUUCUUACUUUUAGUUUCACCAGAGCCCGUCUACGAAGAGCCUGGGCACUCCCUAUACGCCCCAUUGUACCGAUCUUGGUUGUAGUUCCAGUAAACAUCCACUGGGGGUGAUCGCGGGCGAGUCCAGAAUGAAUGGGAGUCAAUGGGGCUAGACGGCUAAAUAUGUCUCUUUCACCUGCUUGUCGUUGAAAUAUCGCAAAUUUUAUUGUAGAUUUCGCAAGUUCAAUAUAGAUUAUAGUUCAAAAGUCAAAUGAAUGAGCACUUAUGUCCUUUCGAUUUCUUACAGUUUGGGCCGUUGUUGGCCGUAUACGCUAGCAUUCUGCUAAUGAAUGCUGAUUGGUCAGGGACGGACUUGCGACUGAUUACGACCAGAGACCCCUCUUGACGGCACCUGAAGCUGAAGCGCAUCGGAAACAUUAUCUUAAGGAGGACUUUCCGUCAAAGUUAAUUUUUGCGUACUGUAUUUAUAUUUUCCUGCAGGCCCUUUUAUUUGUUAUAUAGUUAUGUAUGGUGAAAGUACAUGGGUAUAGAUGGAAUUUCUUCCAUUUCUCGUGUUCAAUGUUCAAUGUGUUAUAUACAUGGUACGGUAUGACCACCUUAAAUUAUACAGUCAAUGUCCCGCUCAAUAUCAUUUCAUCUGUCAUUGUCCAUUUUUUCGAAAAUAAAGAUAGUUUAGAAAAUGUGCAAUGAUAAACUGCUCCAACAGUGGAAAGGGAUUGUCCUUCUUUUCGUUUCCCAAGGAAAGAAAAAGGUAAUGUUCUUGCUUGCUCCUGUAUGAAUAGUCCUAGGCUACCUGAGGCUGCACCUGGUAGGGAAAGUUGCGCUGGAGCCCGGGUAAAAUCGCACAUGGCUUAUUCAAGUUGCGCGCUAGACAUUCUCUAAAGUCUCGAGACUCAAGCACUUCAAUUACCUUAACCGAUUGUCCCAUACAAAUCGUUUGUUAACGAUUCAACAACUUCAAAAUCUGCUAUUACUGUAGUUUUAUUUUUUGUAGGCCUUGGGCUAAUGACCUUGCACAGAGGGAAAACCAUCUACACCACUUGUCAUUGAUUUCUAUGCAUUCAGUGAUCUUUACAGAUGGGUUUGUUUUAAGCCAUUGAAUAUGAUUGCUCUGCCCUGCAACACAUUAUAAGCUACACAUGUUUGUUAAAUGAGAAGUAUGGUCUAGGUCAUGUUGAAACAGUAUCAGUUGUAUAACAGUAAUUAUACAAACAUACCAACAUUGCAACAGGCAAGUUUAUUCAAACAUCACACUAACAAGAACACAAUAAGAACAGUAACAUAGUAAAUAAUUUAAAAAAAAGAGAAAUGAUUUAACAACACUGAACAUACUGAACAGAGGCAGGGAAAAAAGGACAGAGGAACAACAAUAUAAUAAAAGAGGAAGAAGACUUGUCCGUUGUCACAGCAUCAAGGCCAACUGUAGAGAUCAAGAAAGGAAGAGGCAUGAGGAGGAGUACAACAGAACACUGCUCUCUAGGAAAUUGUUUACUGAUGUAAACUAAGUUGAUGCAGUCUUACAAUUAUGAUUCUAAUCAAGGUUUCUAUUUCAGGAGAAAGAAAUGGCUCAUAAACAUGAGGCGAAGUGACCUCAGACCUCAGACAGUUAAUGCAGGGGGGCUAUGUUGUCUGUGAACUGCAUUUUGAGGAAUGCUUCCUUAAAAAACACAAUGGAAAGGUGGCACUCACCAGAGAUGCCAUCCCCACACUGGUGGAUUGCGACAACCCGCCACCACUUGCCUCCCCACCUCUUAAAAGGCGGAAAAAAAAAAGAAGGUAACAUAACUGAGACCAAGACCAACAUACAAAUAAUUAAGACAGUCCCCUGAAAUAACAUUUACAUACAUUACAUUGAAUGAAAUAACUUUAACUGAUCCUUUGAUAUUGACUGAUAUAUUAAUCCUCAAAAGCUAAGCAGAGUCAAUCUGAGGAAGAAGACAGGUAUAUAGACACAGAGGGAGGGACAGAGAAAAGCACAGAGGAGACAGCAGAAAUUAUACCGGAAAGGACAGAGGAGACUCUAGAGACAACAGUUGAAAUGGAGGAAAGGACAGAGGAGAGCGCAGAAGGGACAGUAGAGUCAAAUGGAGGCACCAAAGAACAGGCUGAGGCUCAGGUGACAAUUCUGCACAGCAGUCUCCAAAAGAAGGACCAGGUGAUGUUCUGAGCUUCUUCAAUUUCAAA